RNAcentral lists this ribosomal RNA (254 nucleotides) under uncultured bacterium. RNAcentral's name for it is "partial 16S ribosomal RNA". It matches the Rfam family "Bacterial small subunit ribosomal RNA", at positions 524 to 776 of the family's 1533-position model. The record is from RNAcentral.
UACGUAGGGUGCAAGCGUUGUCCGGAAUUAUUGGGCGUAAAGAGCUCGUAGGCGGUUUGUUGCGUCGGCUGUGAAAUCCCGAGGCUCAACCUCGGGUCUGCAGUCGAUACGAGCAAACUAGAGUGUUGCAGGGGAGACUGGAAUUCCUGGUGUAGCGGUGAAAUGCGCAGAUAUCAGGAGGAACACCGGUGGCGAAGGCGGGUCUCUGGGCAGUAACUGACGCUGAGGAGCGAAAGCCGUGGGGAGCGAACAGG